Molecule: ribosomal RNA, 253 nt
Filed under: uncultured bacterium
Lineage: Bacteria
Description: partial 16S ribosomal RNA
Rfam family: Bacterial small subunit ribosomal RNA
Source: RNAcentral
UACGAAGGGGGCUAGCGUUGUUCGGAAUCACUGGGCGUAAAGGGCGCGUAGGCGGCUUUAUAAGUCGGGGGUGAAAGCCUGUGGCUCAACCACAGAAUUGCCUUCGAUACUGUAGAGCUUGAGACCGGAAGAGGUAAGUGGAACUGCGAGUGUAGAGGUGAAAUUCGUAGAUAUUCGCAAGAACACCAGUGGCGAAGGCGGCUUACUGGUCCUGUUCUGACGCUGAGGCGCGAAAGCGUGGGGAGCAAACAGG